Molecule: transfer RNA, 78 nt
Filed under: Thermoprotei archaeon
Lineage: Archaea; Thermoproteati; Thermoproteota; Thermoprotei
Also listed under: 2 other names
Description: tRNA-Glu
Rfam family: tRNA
About the family: Transfer RNA (tRNA) molecules are approximately 80 nucleotides in length. Their secondary structure includes four short double-helical elements and three loops (D, anti-codon, and T loops).
Source: RNAcentral
GCCGCCGUAGUAUAGCCCGGCCAAGUAUGCGGGCCUUUCGAGCCCGUGACCCGGGUUCAAAUCCCGGCGGCGGCACCA